Molecule: ribosomal RNA, 253 nt
Filed under: uncultured bacterium
Lineage: Bacteria
Description: partial 16S ribosomal RNA
Rfam family: Bacterial small subunit ribosomal RNA
Source: RNAcentral
UACAGAGGUCUCAAGCGUUGUUCGGAUUCAUUGGGCGUAAAGGGUGCGUAGGCGGUAGGGUAAGUCUGGUGUGAAAUCCUGGAGCUUAACUUCAGAAAUGCACUGGAUACUGCCCUGCUAGAGGACUGGAGAGGAGAUUGGAAUUCACGGUGUAGCAGUGAAAUGCGUAGAUAUCGUGAGGAAGACCAGUGGCGUAAGCGAAUCUCUGGACAGUUCCUGACGCUGAGGCACGAAGGCCAGGGGAGCAAACGGG